ACUGAUCGGCCACAUGGGACUGAGACACGGCCCAAACUCCUACGGGAAGCUGCAGUAGGGAUCUUCCACAAUGGGCGAAAGCCUGAUGGAGCAACGCCGCGUGUGUGAUGAAGGCUUUCGGGUCGUAAAGCACUGUUGUAUGGGAAGAACAGCUAGAAUAGGAAAUGAUUUUAGUUUGACGGUACCAUACCAGAAAGGGACGGCUAAAUACGUGCCAGCAGCCGCGGUAAUACGUAUGUCCCGAGCGUUAUCCGGAUUUAUUGGGCGUAAAGCGAGCGCAGACGGUUUAUUAAGUCUGAUGUGAAAGCCCGGAGCUCAACUCCGGAAUGGCAUUGGAAACUGGUUAACUUGAGUGCAGUAGAGGUAAGUGGAACUCCAUGUGUAGCGGUGGAAUGCGUAGAUAUAUGGAAGAACACCAGUGGCGAAGGCGGCUUACUGGACUGCAACUGACGUUGAGGCUCGAAAGUGUGGGUAGCAAACAGGAUUAGAUACCCUGGUAGUCCACACCGUAAACGAUGAACACUAGGUGUUAGGAGGUUUCCGCCUCUUAGUGCCGAAGCUAACGCAUUAAGUGUUCCGCCUGGGGAGUACGACCGCAAGGUUGAAACUCAAAGGAAUUGACGGGGACCCGCACAAGCGGUGGAGCAUGUGGUUUAAUUCGAAGCAACGCGAAGAACCUUACCAGGUCUUGACAUCCUUUGAAGCUUUUAGAGAUAGAAGUGUUCUCUUCGGAGACAAAGUGACAGGUGGUGCAUGGUCGUCGUCAGCUCGUGUCGUGAGAUGUUGGGUUAAGUCCCGCAACGAGCGCAACCCUUAUUGUUAGUUGCCAGCAUUCAGAUGGGCACUCUAGCGAGACUGCCGGUGACAAACCGGAGGAAGGCGGGGACGACGUCAGAUCAUCAUGCCCCUUAUGACCUGGGCUACACACGUGCUACAAUGGCGUAUACAACGAGUUGCCAACCCGCGAGGGUGAGCUAAUCUCUUAAAGUACGUCUCAGUUCGGAUUGUAGUCUGCAACUCGACUACAUGAAGUCGGAAUCGCUAGUAAUCGCGGAUCAGCACGCCGCGGUGAAUACGUUCCCGGGUCUUGUACACACCGCCCGUCACACCAUGGGAGUUUGUAAUGCCCAAAGCCGGUGGCCUAACCUUUAGGAAGGAGCCGUCUAAGG
Molecule: ribosomal RNA, 1169 nt
Filed under: Leuconostoc mesenteroides
Lineage: Bacteria; Bacillati; Bacillota; Bacilli; Lactobacillales; Lactobacillaceae
Description: bacterial SSU rRNA
Rfam family: Bacterial small subunit ribosomal RNA
Source: RNAcentral